CCAAUAGCGUAUAUUAAAGUUGUUGCAGUUAAAAAGCUCGUAGUUGAACCUCGGGGUCUACCCAUUGGUCAGGCUUAAUUGUCUGCACUGGUGAGAUGGAUCUCUACCUUCUGAGGAACUUUCAUGCCAUUUAUUUGGUGUGAUGGGAAAUCAGGACUGUUACUUUGAAAAAAUUAGCGUGUUUAAAGCAGACUAUCGUCUGAAUACAUUAGCAUGGAAUAAUGAAAUAGGACGGACUGAUUCUAUUUCGUUGGUUUCUAGGAUCACCGUAAUGAUUAAUAGGGAUAGUUGGGGGCAUUAGUAUUCAAUUGUCAGAGGUGAAAUUCUUGGAUUUAUUGAAGACUAACUACUGCGAAAGCAUUUGCCAAGGAUGUUUUCAUUAAUCAAGAACGAAAGUUAGGGGAUCGAAGACGAUCAGAUACCGUCGUAGUCUUAACCAUAAACUAUGCCGACUAGGGAUCGGACGAAGUUAAUUUUAUAAUGACGCGUUCGGCACCUUACG
This 502-nucleotide ribosomal RNA is filed under the name uncultured Glomeromycotina. RNAcentral describes it as "partial small subunit ribosomal RNA". It matches the Rfam family "Eukaryotic small subunit ribosomal RNA", at positions 591 to 1092 of the family's 1831-position model. Lineage: Eukaryota; Fungi; Glomeromycota. The record is from RNAcentral.